GUCGAGCGAAGCUUUUCAGUAGUUUACUACAGAAAAUGACUGAGCGGCGAACGGGUGAGUAACGCGUGAGCAAUCUACCUUAGUUACAGGGAUAGCCCGAGGAAACUCGGAUUAAUACCUGAUAUUCUUUAAAUUUCGCAUGAAAUUAAAAGGAAAGGUCAGCCGAACUAAGAUGAGCUCGCGUUCUAUCAGCUAGUUGGUGAGGUAAAAGCUCACCAAGGCUACGACGGAUAGCUGGUCUGAGAGGACGAUCAGCCACACUGGGACUGAGACACGGCCCAGACUCCUACGGGAGGCUGCAGCAGGGAAUAUUGCGCAAUGAGCGAAAGCUUGACGCAGCGACACCGCGUGUGGGAUGACGGAUCUAGGUUUGUAAACCACUUUCAGGAGGGAAGAAAAUGACGGUACCUCCACAAGAAGCCCCGGCCAACUACGUGCCAGCAGCCGCGGUAAUACGUAGGGGGCGAGCGUUGUCCGGAUUUAUUGGGCGUAAAGAGCUCGUAGGCGGUUCAACAAGUCGGUCGUAAAAGUUCAGGGCUCAACCCUGAAAUGUCGAUCGAUACUGUUGUGACUAGGAUACGGUAGAGGUGAGUGGAAUUCCGAGUGUAGCGGUGAAAUGCGUAGAUAUUCGGAGGAACACCAAUUGCGAAGGCAGCUCACUGGGCCCGCUAUCGACGCUGAGGAGCGAAAGCUAGGGAGCAAACAGGAUUAGAUACCCUGGUAGUCCUAGCUGUAAACGAUGGAUACUAGACGUA
This 755-nucleotide ribosomal RNA is filed under the name uncultured marine bacterium. RNAcentral's name for it is "bacterial SSU rRNA". It matches the Rfam family "Bacterial small subunit ribosomal RNA", at positions 61 to 824 of the family's 1533-position model. The record is from RNAcentral.